AUUGAACGCUGGCGGCAGGCUUAACACAUGCAAGUCGAACGAGUGGCGGACGGGUGAGUAAUGCUUGGGAAUCUAGCUUACGGAGGGGGAUAACUACGGGAAACUGUAGAUAAUACCGCUAACCAUAGGAUGAGCCCAAGGGGGAUUAGGUAGUUGGUGAGGUAAAGGCUCACAAAGCCGACGAUCUCUAGCUGGUCUGAGAGGAUGACCGGCCACACUGGGACUGAGACACGGCCCAGACGCCUACGGGAGGCAGCAGUGGGGAAUAUUGCGCAAUGGGGGCAACCUGACGCAGCCAUGCCGCGUGAAUGAAGAAGGCCUUCGGGUUGUAAAGUUCUUUCGGUAGCGAGGCGUUAACUACAGAAGUAGCACCGGCUAACUCCGUGCCAGCAGCCGCGGUAAUUC
Molecule: ribosomal RNA, 405 nt
Filed under: uncultured bacterium
Lineage: Bacteria
Description: partial 16S ribosomal RNA
Rfam family: Bacterial small subunit ribosomal RNA
Source: RNAcentral